UGGGGAAUUUUGGACGAAUUGGGCGAAAGCCUGAUCCAGCAAUGCCGCGUGUGUGAAGAAGGCCUUCGGGUUGUAAAGCACUUUUGUCCGGAAAGAAAUCCUUGGCUCUAAUACAGUCGGGGGAUGACGGUACCGGAAGAAUAAGCACCGGCUAACUACGUGCCAGCAGCCGCGGUAAUACGUAGGGUGCAAGCGUUAAUCGGAAUUACUGGGCGUAAAGCGUGCGCAGGCGGUUUGCUAAGACCGAUGUGAAAUCCCCGGGCUCAACCUGGGAACUGCAUUUGGGUGACUGGCAGGCUAGAGUAUGGCAGAGGGGGGUAGAAUUCCACGUGUAGCAGUGAAAUGCGUAGAGAUGUGGAGGAAUACCGAUGGCGAAGGCAGCCCCCUGGGCCAAUA
This 396-nucleotide ribosomal RNA is filed under the name uncultured bacterium. RNAcentral's name for it is "partial 16S ribosomal RNA". It matches the Rfam family "Bacterial small subunit ribosomal RNA", at positions 355 to 739 of the family's 1533-position model. The record is from RNAcentral.